This 484-nucleotide ribosomal RNA is filed under the name uncultured bacterium. RNAcentral's name for it is "partial 16S ribosomal RNA". It matches the Rfam family "Bacterial small subunit ribosomal RNA", at positions 30 to 507 of the family's 1533-position model. The record is from RNAcentral.
AUUGAACGCUGGCGGCAGGCCUAACACAUGCAAGUCGAGCGGAUGAAGGGAGCUUGCUCCUGGAUUCAGCGGCGGACGGGUGAGUAAUGCCUAGGAAUCUGCCUGGUCGUGGGGGAUAACGUCCGGAAACGGGCGCUAAUACCGCAUACGUCCUGAGGGAGAAAGUGGGGGAUCUUCGGACCUCACGCUAUCUGAUGAGCCUAGGUCGGAUUAGCUAGUUGGUGGGGUAAAGGCCUACCAAGGCGACGAUCCGUAACUGGUCUGAGAGGCUGAUCAGUCACACUGGAACUGAGACACGGUCCAGACUCCUACGGGAGGCAGCAGUGGGGAAUAUUGGACAAUGGGCGAAAGCCUGAUCCAGCCAUGCCGCGUGUGUGAAGAAGGUCUUCGGAUUGUAAAGCACUUUAAGUUGGGAGGAAGAGCAGUAAGUUAAUACCUUGCUGUUUUGACGUUACCAACAGAAUAAGCACCGGCUAACUUCGUG